UGAUGUUAGCGGCGGACGGGUGAGUAACACGUGGGUAACCUGCCUGUAAGACUGGGAUAACUCCGGGAAACCGGGGCUAAUACCGGAUGGUUGUUUGAACCGCAUGGUUCAGACAUAAAAGGUGGCUUCGGCUACCACUUACAGAUGGACCCGCGGCGCAUUAGCUAGUUGGUGAGGUAACGGCUCACCAAGGCGACGAUGCGUAGCCGACCUGAGAGGGUGAUCGGCCACACUGGGACUGAGACACGGCCCAGACUCCUACGGGAGGCAGCAGUAGGGAAUCUUCCGCAAUGGACGAAAGUCUGACGGAGCAACGCCGCGUGAGUGAUGAAGGUUUUCGGAUCGUAAAGCUCUGUUGUUAGGGAAGAACAAGUGCCGUUCAAAUAGGGCGGCACCUUGACGGUACCUAACCAGAAAGCCACGGCUAACUACGUGCCAGCAGCCGCGGUAAUACGUAGGUGGCAAGCGUUGUCCGGAAUUAUUGGGCGUAAAGGGCUCGCAGGCGGUUUCUUAAGUCUGAUGUGAAAGCCCCCGGCUCAACCGGGGAGGGUCAUUGGAAACUGGGGAACUUGAGUGCAGAAGAGGAGAGUGGAAUUCCACGUGUAGCGGUGAAAUGCGUAGAGAUGUGGAGGAACACCAGUGGCGAAGGCGACUCUCUGGUCUGUAACUGACGCUGAGGAGCGAAAGCGUGGGGAGCGAACAGGA
Molecule: ribosomal RNA, 705 nt
Filed under: Bacillus velezensis
Lineage: Bacteria; Bacillati; Bacillota; Bacilli; Caryophanales; Bacillaceae
Description: bacterial SSU rRNA
Rfam family: Bacterial small subunit ribosomal RNA
Source: RNAcentral